CGGGUGAGUAACGCGUGAGUAACCUACCUUACACAAGGGGAUAGCCUCUGGAAACGGAGAAUAAUACCCUAUGAAACUAUCUUAUCGCAUGAAAAGAUAGUCAAAGUGUUUUAGCGGUGUAAGAUGGACUUGCGUCUGAUUAGCUAGUUGGUGAGAUAACAGCCCACCAAGGCAACGAUCAGUAGCCGGCUUGAGAGAGUGUACGGCCACAUUGGGACUGAGACACGGCCCAG
RNAcentral lists this ribosomal RNA (233 nucleotides) under uncultured Eubacteriales bacterium. Its description in RNAcentral is "uncultured Clostridiales bacterium partial 16S ribosomal RNA". It matches the Rfam family "Bacterial small subunit ribosomal RNA", at positions 103 to 334 of the family's 1533-position model. The record is from RNAcentral. Lineage: Bacteria; Bacillati; Bacillota; Clostridia; Eubacteriales.